This 759-nucleotide long non-coding RNA is filed under the name Coffea arabica (coffee). RNAcentral's name for it is "long non-coding RNA (CARA_LNC007144)". The record is from RNAcentral. Lineage: Eukaryota; Viridiplantae; Streptophyta; Magnoliopsida; Gentianales; Rubiaceae.
GUGAUUUUUGGAUUGGAAUCGAAAAUGUGAGAAGUUGUACCAACCUUGUGACUCCAAGUAAACGCUUGACUAAGUAAUUGAAAAACAUUUUGCUCUAAGUCUUGAACGGUACAAUUUUAGCAUAGUACGACUAAACAUAGUGUCUAAUAUUAUAUAUAUAUUUUUUUUGACUUAAAAACUUGGGCAACAUGACUUUUAACCCUUAAGUUAGACUAGCCUUAUUUAUUUGGGAAAAAUAACUCUCCAAGACUUAAAACCUUAGUUUGUUUCAAUUUCCUUCCUUCUUUAUAAAUCGUUUAAGGCUAGUUGUAACUAAGGAAAAGUUUUAAAGGGUGAGUCUUGAUCACCUUAGCUAUAUGUAUAGAAACUCGCUCGGCAAGAGAGACAUUAUUUUCUUUUAGCAAAACAGCUUUAGCAACGUUUGUAUAAGAAACCUUAUCUUGAAGCCUUAGCAAUAAAUUUUGCAAGCACCACCACUCAAAAGAACUUUUUCUCAAGGUAUACUCUUAGCCUCGAUAUUAAAUAGCUUGCCGACUUAUUUUAAGAAAAUAAUAAUAGUAUUUUCUUUAAGAAAAGUAUUCCAAGGAAAAACUAAAGGAAACAAUUCUUCUACUUUCGUCAAGAUUCAACCUAUGGAGAUUCUUGAUUUUUCUAAGGGAAAGUGAACUAGUAGUAUAUUAGAUAUACCUCUAUAUCUAUAAGCUUAAAGACUGAGUAGAAACUUAUAGUUUCAAAAUUUGGUUUUUAGGAUACUGCGAG